CCUACGGGUGGCAGCAGUGGGGGAUAUUGCACAAUGGGAGAAACCCUGAUGCAGCGACGCCGCGUGUGGGAAGACGGUCCUCUGGAUUGUAAACCACUGUCCCCAGGGACGAAGAUGACGGUACCUGGGGAGGAAGCUCCGGCUAACUACGUGCCAGCAGCCGCGGUAAUACGUAGGGAGCGAGCGUUGUCCGGAAUUACUGGGUGAAAAGGGAGCGUGGGCGGGACUGCAAGUUGGGUGUCAAAUCUACCGGCUCAACCGGUAGCCGCACUCAAAACUGCAGUUCUUGAGUGAAGUAGAGGCAGGCGGAAUUCCUAGUGUAGCGGUGAAAUGCGUAGAUAUUAGGAGGAACACCAGUGGCGAAGGCGGCCUGCUGGGCUUUUACUGACGCUGAGGCUCGAAAGUGUGGGGAGCAAACAGGAUUAGAUACCCGAGUAGUC
This 440-nucleotide ribosomal RNA is filed under the name uncultured bacterium. RNAcentral's name for it is "partial 16S ribosomal RNA". It matches the Rfam family "Bacterial small subunit ribosomal RNA", at positions 338 to 795 of the family's 1533-position model. The record is from RNAcentral.